CUUGUGCUUCAUACGGGUAGUACAACUUACAAUUGUGGUUAGUACUAUACCUUUAUGUAUGUAAGCGUAUUACCGGUGGAGUUCUUAUAUGUGUUUGAAUACUUGUAUUCUUUCAUAUGUUCCUCCUAUUUAAAAACCUGCAUUAGUGCUCUUAAACGAGUGUUAUUGUGGGCCGGUACAAUUACUUUGAACAAAUUAGAGUGCUUAAAGCAGGCUUCAAAUGCCUGAAUAUUCUGUGCAUGGGAUAAUGAAAUAAGACCUCAGUUCUGCUUUCAUUGGUUUUCAGAUCAAGAGGUAAUGAUUAAUAGAAGCAGUUUGGGGGCAUUAGUAUUACGACGCGAGAGGUGAAAUUCUUGGACCGUCGUAAGACUAAGUUAAGCGAAAACAUUUGCCAAAGAUGUCGAAGGCGAUCAGAUACCGCCCUAGUUCUAACCAUAAACGAUGCCAGCUAGCAAUUGGGUGUAGCUACUUUUAUGGCUCUCUCAGUCGCUUCACGGGAAACCAAAGCUUUUGGGCUCCGGGGGAAGUAUGGUUGCAAAGCUGAAACUUAAAGGAAUUGACGGAAGGGCACCACCAGGAGUGGAGCCUGCGGCUUAAUUUGACUCAACACGGGAAAACUUACCAGGUCCGAACAUAAGUGUGUAAGACAGAUUGAUAGCUCUUUCUCGAAUCUAUGGGUGGUGGUGUAUGGCCGUUCUUAGUUCGUGGAGUGAUUUGUCUGGUUAAUUCCGAUAACGAACGAGACUCAAAUAUAUUAAAUAGAUAUCUUCAGGAUUAUGGUGUUGAAGCUUAUAUAGCCUUCAUUCAUGGUGGCAGUAAAAUGUUUAUUGUGUUUGUAGUGGAGCCGUACCUGUUGGUUUGUCCCAUUAUAAAGACACUAGCUUCUUAAAUGGACAAAUUGCGUCUAGCAAUAAUGAGAUUGAGCAAUAACAGGUAUGUGAUGCCCUUAGAUGUCCUGGGCUGCACGCGCGCUACAAUGAAAGUAUAAACGAGUAUUUUCUAGACCGAGAGGUCCGGGUAAACCGCUGAACCACUUUCAUUGUUGGGAUUGUGAACUGAAACUGUUCACAUGAACUUGGAAUUUCCAGUAAGUGCGAGUCAUUAACUCGCAUUUAUUACGUCCCUGCCCUUUGU
Molecule: ribosomal RNA, 1134 nt
Filed under: Drosophila rhopaloa
Lineage: Eukaryota; Metazoa; Arthropoda; Insecta; Diptera; Drosophilidae
Description: SSU rRNA
Rfam family: Eukaryotic small subunit ribosomal RNA
Source: RNAcentral